AUUGAACGCUGGCGGCAUGCCUUACACAUGCAAGUCGAACGGUAACAGGUCUUCGGAUGCUGACGAGUGGCGAACGGGUGAGUAAUGCAUCGGAACGUGCCCAGUAGUGGGGGAUAGCCCGGCGAAAGCCGGAUUAAUACCGCAUACGACCUGAGGGUGAAAGGGGGGGAUCGCAAGACCUCUCGCUAUUGGAGCGGCCGAUGUCAGAUUAGCUAGUUGGUGGGGUAAAGGCCUACCAAGGCAACGAUCUGUAGUUGGUCUGAGAGGACGACCAGCCACACUGGGACUGAGACACGGCCCAGACUCCUACGGGAGGCAGCAGUGGGGAAUUUUGGACAAUGGGCGCAAGCCUGAUCCAGCAAUGCCGCGUGCAGGAAGAAGGCCUUCGGGUUGUAAACUGCUUUUGUCAGGGAAGAAAUCUUCUGGGUUAAUACCUCGGGAGGAUGACGGUACCUGAAGAAUAAGCACCGGCUAACUACGUGCCAGCCGCCGCGGUAA
RNAcentral lists this ribosomal RNA (498 nucleotides) under uncultured bacterium. RNAcentral's name for it is "partial 16S ribosomal RNA". It matches the Rfam family "Bacterial small subunit ribosomal RNA", at positions 30 to 523 of the family's 1533-position model. The record is from RNAcentral.